This 735-nucleotide ribosomal RNA is filed under the name uncultured Carnobacteriaceae bacterium. RNAcentral describes it as "bacterial SSU rRNA". It matches the Rfam family "Bacterial small subunit ribosomal RNA", at positions 58 to 778 of the family's 1533-position model. The record is from RNAcentral. Lineage: Bacteria; Bacillati; Bacillota; Bacilli; Lactobacillales; Carnobacteriaceae.
CAAGUCGAACGAUGAUAUCACUGCUUGCAGUGAUUGAUUAGUGGCGAACGGGUGAGUAACACGUGAGGAACUUGCCCAUGAGCGGGGGACAACAUUCGGAAACGGAUGCUAAUACCCCAUAGGUGGAUUGGUCGCAUGACGAAUUCAUUAAAGGUGGCUUUGCUACCACUCAUGGAUAGCCUCGCGGCGUAUUAGCUAGUUGGUAAGGUAAUGGCUUACCAAGGCAGUGAUACGUAGCCGACUUGAGAGGGUGAUCGGCCACACUGGGACUGAGACACGGCCCAGACUCCUACGGGAGGCAGCAGUAGGGAAUCUUCCACAAUGGGUGCAAACCUGAUGGAGCAAUGCCGCGUGAGUGAAGAAGGUCUUCGGAUCGUAAAGCUCUGUUGUUAGAGAAGAACACGUGCUAGGUAACUACUAGCGCCUUGACGGUAUCUAACCAGAAAGUCACGGCUAACUACGUGCCAGCAGCCGCGGUAAUACGUAGGUGACAAGCGUUGUCCGGAUUUAUUGGGCGUAAAGGGAGCGCAGGCGGUCUGUUUAGUCUAAUGUGAAAGCCCACGGCUUAACCGUGGAACGGCAUUGGAAACUGACAGACUUGAAUGUAGAAGAGGAAAAUGGAAUUCCAAGUGUAGCGGUGGAAUGCGUAGAUAUUUGGAGGAACACCAGUGGCGAAGGCGAUUUUCUGGUCUAACAUUGACGCUGAGGCUCGAAAGCGUGGGGAGCGAACAGGAU